UGAACGACUCUCGGCAACGGAUAUCUCGGCUCACGCAUCGAUGAAGAACGUAGCAAAAUGCGAUACUUGGUGUGAAUUGCAGAAUCCCGUGAACCAUCGAGUUUUUGAACGCAAGUUGCGCCCGAAGCCAUCCGGUUGAGGGCACGUCUGCCUGGGCGUCACGCA
This 165-nucleotide ribosomal RNA is filed under the name Tagetes patula. Its description in RNAcentral is "5.8S ribosomal RNA". It matches the Rfam family "5.8S ribosomal RNA". Rfam says of the family: 5.8S ribosomal RNA (5.8S rRNA) is a component of the large subunit of the eukaryotic ribosome. Lineage: Eukaryota; Viridiplantae; Streptophyta; Magnoliopsida; Asterales; Asteraceae. The record is from RNAcentral.